CGAUCCACUAUUAAUAGAAGCCCUUCUCUUCCUGGACAUCACUAUGCAUGGAGUAAUUCCUAUCACCCACAGUCUCCAGGCAUGAUAUGGCCAAACUCACCAUCGUUUGUCAAUGGAAUUUCAAUGGCUCAUGCUACAGUGCAGUUGCAUGGACCUCCUAGAGCACCACCUCCGGUUCUUAACACUGUUUUACCUGUAAAUAACCACCAUGUGGGAUCAGCACCA
This 225-nucleotide unclassified non-coding RNA is filed under the name Hevea brasiliensis (rubber tree). The record is from RNAcentral. Lineage: Eukaryota; Viridiplantae; Streptophyta; Magnoliopsida; Malpighiales; Euphorbiaceae.